RNAcentral lists this ribosomal RNA (918 nucleotides) under Calvittacus regiae. RNAcentral's name for it is "eukaryotic LSU rRNA". It matches the Rfam family "Eukaryotic large subunit ribosomal RNA", at positions 366 to 944 of the family's 3401-position model. The record is from RNAcentral. Lineage: Eukaryota; Metazoa; Arthropoda; Arachnida; Trombidiformes; Eriophyidae.
AAAUAGAACUUUGCAGAGAGAGUUAACAGGGCGUGAAACCGUUAAUUGGCAAACGAAUCGGAGCCACGAAGUCGUUUCGCUGAUAAGUCGAGUUCAGCUUUUAAGAAAUUAAGGGUGUAUUCUCGUGAGCUUAUCCAAUGUAAACGUACACUGCAACUAGUUAGACGAUUAAAGAUGGGCACAGUUGAGGAAGUUUCGGCUUCCUUAGCGAGCUAUUUGUUUGUUUGGGUUAGUAGUAACGUCGUAGUUCUUGUAGCUAUGUGCGUUGCUGGGCCUGUAACAAGUGAGCUAUCUUUGAAUACUGACUAGCAAAAUUAAAAUCGCUUUUCUUAGCGUAAUACAAAAAGCAGUUGUUUGUAUUAUUGUCUACAUGUUUAACCAUGAAGUUUUAAGCUCAGCAUUUUUGAAUUUGAACUUGCUCGCUACCAAUGGGGCAACUCUUGGUGCUUGUAUAGCUUCAUCUAAUCGGGUGUUGACUUGAUUUUGUGUUGUUUAAGCAUGCUACGAUAGGAUAGUAAUAUAAGAUGAUUUGCAAUUUGAAUUGGCAGUGAGUAGGUCGGCUUUCCGAACGACCCGUCUUGAAACACGGACCAAGGAGUCUAAUUAGGCAUCGAGUCGAUCGGUCUUGAUAGGCCAGAGAGGGGUUUUCGUAACUCCGAGUGAAGGCGUAGAGAAAUCAAAUCAUGUGAUCAUUGGUGGUAAAAACAACCCCUUUGCGCAACAUGUGCCUGUUCGUAUACCAAUGUAGCAAUACUUGGUGGGCGGAGCAAAGAGAUGCCUGAUUGGUACCCGAAAGAUGGUGAACUAUGCCUGGGCAAAUUGAAGCCAGAGGAAACUCUGGUGGAGGAUUGUAGCGAUUCUGACGUGCAAAUCGAUCGUCAGACCUGGGUAUAGGGGCGAAAGACUAAUCGAACCAUC